Long non-coding RNA from Daktulosphaira vitifoliae (grape phylloxera), 1067 nucleotides. RefSeq lists it as uncharacterized. The transcript is spliced from 3 exons. The record is from RefSeq and is a predicted model, not a curated record. Lineage: Eukaryota; Metazoa; Arthropoda; Insecta; Hemiptera; Phylloxeridae.
AAUAGAUAUAAAUAUUUUUGAAUUUUGUAUUGGCCAGGCCAGAGGAAGAUUUAAGAAAUAUUGGUGUCGAUCAAAUAAAAAUCGAUCGAAUAAAAAAAUACUCUCUAAAAAAAAAUACUUAUUCAACAAAUGUAAAAAAAUUAAUAAGGUCAAAUUAUUAUUGUGAAAUAAGAUAUUGGAAGAUCAUCAUGAACACCAUAUGCUUUGUGAAAUUUUAAUAAGCCAUCCAUGAAUUUUAGUGAAACAUCUUCAUUAACAAACCAAAAAGGCUGUUGAUUUCUAUUACUAUUUGAUUGGUAAUACAAUUCAUUUUCAGAACUAUUUGAUAAAGGAUCAUCUAAAAAUAAUAUUAAACAAUUAAAUAAGUUUUAAUAUUUAUUUCUACUUAAUGUGAAACAUUGUUCCAUAAAAUUUAGAUUAUUCUAGUUAAUAUUUUGUUGAAUUUUACAGGAUUAUUAAAGUGUUUUACAUCCACUCUUAUAAGCUAUGGUUGUAUAAGAGAACACAAGGAAACCUACAUAGCCCAGCCACAACAGAAUUGCACCCUGUUACUUAUACACAAAGACACAAUUUGUUACUGACAGGAUUAAGUAAUCAAACAAUUCUAGGGGGUGUCACUAGAAUCUUAAAAGUUCAUUAUUAACGGCCACUCUAACUGACACUAAAUAGUAUCUUCCAAAUCUACUAUGGUAAUGUUGUCAUUUUUAGUAGCUAAUAAAUAAAUAUCACAAAUAUUUUACUGUUUAAGAUAUUUUAUUUAUUUUUUGCAGAUUAUUAUUUAAAAGUAACAAAAAAUUCGUAAGUAGGCAGCUAGGAGACACCGAUUCAAUGCUUAUAAAAGAGUACUGAACAGAACAGUAAAUGACUGACUGAAGAGACUUCCAUUCUACUAGAGUAAUGCUGUCAAUUUUAGUAGCUAAUAAAUAUUAAAAAUAUUUUACAAUACUAUUUAUAAAAAUUAAUUAUUUUAUGUGUUUAAUUGUUAUGAUUGAUAAUAAAAAAUAAAUUCUGUACUCUCACAUUUACUAAGCCAAUAUAUUGUAAAACAAAUUAUAAAUCAUAUUUAA